UUCACAUAUAAGAGAGGAUUUACUGUGAGAAUUACGAAGGAAUAAAUUGGAAGAUAAUUCGUGUUUCUUACGAGUCCUGAAAUGUUCAAAUUUGAAAUUUGAGGUGAAAGAAGGACCGGUGGGCGCUGUGGAGGGGGUUGGAGUUUUCGAAUAAGAGGAGGUGGAGAUAGAGUUCGCAGACAAGGUUAAGAGGAGUUUGAGGUUCAGGGGGAGGAUGGGAUUGGAGGAGGUGGAGGAAGGUGGAGGCGAGGUUUUUGGCGUGGGAGAGUUGGGAGAGGGUGGAGGAGAGAGAAGUGAAGUGGAGGAGGGAGGAGUGGAAGGGGGAGAAAAGAGGGUCGGAGAGGAGGAGGGAAAACCACGGCGGUGUAGGUGUAGCGGUGGCGAUGCUGCAAGGCGUGCCACUUCGCCGACCAUAUGUUUGAUGAAAUAAAUGCCUCUCACAGACACAAAGACAGUGUUACUUUAUAGUCUUCGAAUAGAAAUGAAGGUGGCGACGCGUAGAUGUUCGACGAAAUUCCUCACACAGACAGCGAAUGUGUGAGUGUUAGAGUUUUGAGUGUUUAGAGGGGAAUGAGGUGCCGCUGUGAUGUUCGAUGAAAUGCCUCACUCAAAUGAAGAGUGAGCGCUGGGUUUUGGUGCAUGGAUAGGAAGGAGAGGAGGCGCCGCACUAGGGUACGGUUUUUUAAUUAGGAUUGGUUAAAUUUUUUUGAAAUCUUUUCUGCCGGUGGUCAUCCAUAUUUCAUGAAUUGAUAACUUAAUAUUUGAAUGAAAUGAACUAACGUGGCAAAUUAGUAAUUA
This is a long non-coding RNA of Vigna angularis (adzuki bean), 798 nucleotides long. RefSeq lists it as uncharacterized. The record is from RefSeq and is a predicted model, not a curated record. The transcript is spliced from 2 exons. Lineage: Eukaryota; Viridiplantae; Streptophyta; Magnoliopsida; Fabales; Fabaceae.